UUCUGGCCUCAAGUGAUCUGUCUGCCUCAGCCUCCCAAAAUACUGGGAUUACAGGUGUGCACCAUCAAGCCUGGCCCCCACUUUGGACUCUUGAAUAACCAGAGGGAACCAUCUUCAUUGGGUUAAGAUGUUGACAUUUGCAGAUUUGUCACUGUAGCCAGCAUUUAUUUGAACUAAAAUAAUCCUCAAGACCAUUUUGGAACAGAUUGGCCAGACUAACCCUGAACAGGCUGCAUAAGGACUACUAUAUGAGAGAGAAACAAACCAUCAUGCUUCUUGCUUUCUCUCUGUUAUUUCCAUGACUCCUGUAAUUCUCAUUUGUUACUUGGAGUUUUCUGCUAUGCACAGAUCAAGCUAAUCCUGAAAGAGAAAGUGACAAGUGCCUUGGUCCUCUUGGUGCUGCCCUCCCUUGCUUCUUGCCCCUGUUUUGGUCCAGUGUGCAACUAACGUAGACCCUGGGGUUUCCCACAAAUGUAGCUUUGCCAGCUUUAACCCUCAGAGGUUCCAAAAUGCCACUUACUCCAAGAAUGCCCUUUGGUGCCUCCAACCCAGGUCACUUCAGGUGAUAAUCCUUCUGCCUGGAAGGGUUGGGCACCCUGAUAUGCAAAAAUCUGCAUUAACUUCACAGAUGACUCAAUUAGUGGGUGAUGACUUACAGGCAGUGUUUAUUACAAUGGCCUUUCUAGUUGUGACAUUUUUAAAAUUUGAUCUCUACAGUUUCCAAAAACACUACUUGACACCUGUGGAUUUAAAAAUGAAAUAGCCUCAGAUACAAAAUAACCUUUCCCCAAUCCAUUCAUUGUAGUUGGAAGCUGGUCUUACUAAUGGCAGGGCGACCAUAACACUUGGUUAUGAACCAGGGUAUUGCCUCCAACCAAGCCUUAACAAUCUCAUCCUCCCUUUAGCCUUCCAUGAUUAGACCUCAACUCGUGAGAACUCUUGCCUUGCUCAUAAGUGGGAGUAAAUGCUCAUAGCUCUAGAAAUCUCCCAGGAACCAGACAUCAUGGAAGCUAGAAAGGCUAAGGGAGUCCAGCCUUCCUCUAAAUUGGCCAACAGUGGAGUGGUGGAAAGAUAACCAGCUGCAAACCAGACAGACCCAAACUUGAAUCUCACCUCUGCCAACCUACCAGGCUGUGGUCCAAAUAGGUUAUACAAGUCUCUACCUCUUCUGGCUGAAGCUAACCUCCCAGGAAAAGGACGAGAGGAGAAAGCCAUCCUGCCUGAUGUGUGUCUCCUGUAAUUUCAACUCGAUGACAUGCAGCCACAUGACCUAAGGCACGUACCUCCAUUCACAGGGUGUGGUCAGUACUCCGUGAAUGUCAGGUGUUCUUUCUGCCCUGUCUCCUGUCCUCCUGGAGCCUGCCCUUACCCAGUGAGUCCCUGGAGAGAACAUUCUAGCAUCUGGCUGUGAGCUGUCACACACAUGGGUUUCUUUCGGUUCCCAGAACGAUGGAAUUCCAGCUCCUGGCUGCCUCCAAGAAGCUUGGAGCAAGACAGGCUUGGCUGUCCCAGAGGAAGAGCCUGGCAUGGGGCCAGGCGGCUCAGGAGGGCAGAUGAGCUCGGUGUCUCCUGUAUACAGACCAGGUCAUCACAGGGACCUGCCUCCGCAUUUGCAUCCUCCGCGGCAUAUUUUCCCAGCACAUGCAGCAUCGGAAACUUGAACGCGUCCCUCUGCUUUUCCUCGUGUGAGACCCACCAACCCCGCGUUAGGAAGGAGCCUGAACAUUUGACGGAGCUUUCCCGUCACCUGUGAGCAACGUUCAGGCUGCUUCCGAAGACAGAGACACCCCCCUGCUGUGUUCUCACAGUGGGACGAUUCAACUUUGUCUUUCUCACAACCCCAGAUAAUCCUAUCUUCCCAGGUUUUGUCAUCUUCACGGACUACUUCAUAUCUAGUUAUGAGUCAAACAAAACCCAGUUUAACUGGUAACUAACCAGCCAUCACGUAUCCCUGAAGAUAAACCUGGUUUAUCCUUUUUAUACCCUCUGGCAGAGCAAAGGAACAAGGAGUUCAGGAAAAACAAAACAAAACAAAACACACACUAGAAACAACACUGACAUAUGUCGUUAAAUACAAAUGUGACCAGCCUUGAUUACAAGUGUUGUUAUCCUCUUUUAACAGGCACCUACCCCGAACUUUCAUUAACCCCUGCUAGCUGAGUAGCAGCUUGUGUAAGUGAGGUGCGGGGAUUUUGUCAAAGCCUGCCUUAGUGUAAAAGGCAGGGCCACCCACCAUGAACUUCUCUCUGUGACUUCAUUCUUUAGCAGUGCUCAAGUGUAAAUAAACUUGUUUACCAGGAUCAGAAUGGCCAUGUUAAUGAAGUCUUAUUUGUGUCACCACAAUGACAUGUAAUUUGUGCACAGUUGGACUCAGAGAGUGGACAAAACCAGAGAAAUUUUAUUUCUGUUCUGAAGUUUCCAUACAGAUGCCUUGGGCCAAAGUUAGUACAGCCAAUAUUUGCCUAUUUCUUUUGAUUGUGUGUCCAUGCUAGAGAAAAACCUUGUUACUGUGCCCAGUGUGGUAAAUGAAAUUAUACUGUAUGCAAUGAGAAGAAAAAUGAAAUAAGAAGCAUUGAUGAAUGUACCCACGGGUGUAACCUUGGUGGCCAGUAUGUGGUUUUUAUGAAACGAAUGCAAGAAUAUGAGGACCCUAAUUAUUGCUUUCAACUGACAGAGUAUGGUGAAUAUAUAGAGAAUGUUGCUGUACAACACUGGCUGUGUCUCAAAGCAGCUUUAGAAGUAAAUAUAGAAAUUCUUGUGUACAUGCUAUUGCAUAGAAAGUCAUUAAGAAAAAAGCAAGACAAUUUGUUAAGACCUUGUUAAGUGGAGCUGGGGUAUGAUUAAUUUUGUUUGUUUGUUUUUGUUGUUCCCUAGUAGAGAUCAACGAAGUACAGACUAUGGGACCAACUGCUGCUUUUGUAAAUAAAACUUUAUUGGAAAAAAGCCACGUU
Molecule: non-coding RNA, 2951 nt
Organism: Macaca mulatta (Rhesus monkey)
Lineage: Eukaryota; Metazoa; Chordata; Mammalia; Primates; Cercopithecidae
Source: RefSeq, a predicted model, not a curated record